GACGAACGCUGGCGGCGUGCUUAACACAUGCAAGUCGAACGAAGAGCGACGGAAGCUUGCUUCUAUCAAUCUUAGUGGCGAACGGGUGAGUAACGCGUAAUCAACCUGCCCUUCAGAGGGGGACAACAGUUGGAAACGACUGCUAAUACCGCAUACGAUCUAACCUCGGCAUCGAGGAUAGAUGAAAAGUGGCCUCUACAUGUAAGCUAUCACUGAAGGAGGGGAUUGCGUCUGAUUAGCUAGUUGGAGGGGUAACGGCCCACCAAGGCGAUGAUCAGUAGCCGGUCUGAGAGGAUGAACGGCCACAUUGGGACUGAGACACGGCCCAGACUCCUACGGGAGGCAGCAGUGGGGAAUCUUCCGCAAUGGACGAAAGUCUGACGGAGCAACGCCGCGUGAGUGAUGACGGCCUUCGGGUUGUAAAGCUCUGUUAAUCGGGACGAAAGGCCUUCUUGCGAAUAGUGAGAAGGAUUGACGGUACCGGAAUAGAAAGCCACGGCUAACUACGUG
Molecule: ribosomal RNA, 510 nt
Filed under: uncultured bacterium
Lineage: Bacteria
Description: partial 16S ribosomal RNA
Rfam family: Bacterial small subunit ribosomal RNA
Source: RNAcentral